CGGUGCCUACGGGAGGCAGCAGUGAGGAAUAUUGGUCAAUGGCCGGAAGGCUGAACCAGCCAAGUCGCGUGAGGGAAUAAGGCCCUAUGGGUCGUAAACCUCUUUUGUCAGGGAGCAAAGGCGUCCACGAGUGGACGAAAGGAGAGUACCUGAAGAAAAAGCAUCGGCUAACUCCGUGCCAGCAGCCGCGGUAAUACGGAGGAUGCGAGCGUUAUCCGGAUUUACUGGGUGUAAAGGGAGCGUAGACGGAGGAGCAAGUCUGAUGUGAAAAUCCGGGGCCCAACCCCGGAACUGCAUUGGAAACU
RNAcentral lists this ribosomal RNA (305 nucleotides) under uncultured bacterium. Its description in RNAcentral is "bacterial SSU rRNA". It matches the Rfam family "Bacterial small subunit ribosomal RNA", at positions 333 to 634 of the family's 1533-position model. The record is from RNAcentral.